Molecule: long non-coding RNA, 439 nt
Organism: Larimichthys crocea (large yellow croaker)
Lineage: Eukaryota; Metazoa; Chordata; Actinopteri; Sciaenidae
Exons: 3
Source: RefSeq, a predicted model, not a curated record
CAAAGAAAAUACAAGACAGAUCACCUGGACUAAAGACAGAUUUUUGUUUGCUUAUUUAGUCUCAACAAAUCAGACUUUUUCAAAUUUCACCUCACCCAGACUGAGAAUAGACCAAAACUUUCCUUCAGUGCUGAAUGUUUCUGAUGCUCAGCAUGAAGAUGCAGGACUCUAUAAAUGUGAUGUAACUACAAUUGGUGGCCCAAUGACUACUCAGUGGAAUUUAACAGUGUCAGGGAAACCUGAAGAAGUCAGUUCUUCGUGGUAUUUUCCAUACAUACUCGCAGCUGUAAUUGGAUUACUUCUUUGUGGCAUCGCUCCAGCUGUCUGCCUCUGCAGAAAAAAACAGACCAAGACCCUGAACCAGGACUUAGUGGACAGCAGGACCCUGAGUCAUGUCCAGUACUGUGUCCAGAGAGAGGGAGGACAGGUUUGAAGAACU